Molecule: ribosomal RNA, 433 nt
Filed under: uncultured bacterium
Lineage: Bacteria
Description: partial 16S ribosomal RNA
Rfam family: Bacterial small subunit ribosomal RNA
Source: RNAcentral
AACGAACGCUGGCGGCAGGCUUAACACAUGCAAGUCGAGCGAGACCUUCGGGUCUAGCGGCGGACGGGUGAGUAACGCGUGGGAACGUGCCCUUCUCUACGGAAUAGCCCCGGGAAACUGGGAGUAAUACCGUAUACGCCCUUUGGGGGAAAGAUUUAUCGGAGAAGGAUCGGCCCGCGUUGGAUUAGGUAGUUGGUGGGGUAAUGGCCCACCAAGCCGACGAUCCAUAGCUGGUUUGAGAGGAUGAUCCGCCACACUGGGACUGAGACACGGCCCAGACUCCUGCGGGAGGCAGCCGUGGGGAAUCUUAGACAAUGGGGGCAACCCUGAUCUAGCCAUGCCGCGUGAGUGAUGAAGGCCUUAGGGUUGUACAGCUCUUUCAGCUGGGAAGAUAAUGACGGUACCAGCAGAAGAAGCCCCGGCUAACUCCGUG